AGUCGUUGCAGCUUCAAUGGCGGGAACGAUCGAGGGAAACGCCAUGGAAACGCCAUGGAAACGCCAUGGAAACGCCGAAGCAGAGAGCGGAAGAAAAAAUUUGUAAACUGGCAUGGUGGAUAGGAAUCAGCAAUGUCUUAUCAAGAGUCAUUCCCCAAAUGCGCUUCGAGGCUGGGGUAAUGGAAGAGCAUCGAUGAAACUGGUCGAGAUUUUGUUUUAGGCUUUACAUUUUCUUAUUCGAAUGUUCGCAUCUGUUAUUUCGUUCCGAUCAUUACAUUUCGAGAUAUGAAUUUGAGAGCCUCUUUUUUUUUAUCGAUGUUGAUUGUGUUCGAUCUUAGGGCUGAUUGUGUAUGACUGCUUGUAAUGCGGUCGUUUCUAUUUGAAAAUACUUCCGUCUUUGAAUAUGAGUAUUGAGGAAUUAGAGAGAGGACGAGCGAUUCGGUAGACUAACGGAGUGAAUAGAAAUCGGCAAUGCCUUUCGUUCUCCAGAUGAUUUUCGAAACCUUGCGUGAUGGAUUUGCAUUGAUGAAGCUGAUCGAGAGAAGACAAGAUGGAGGAAUGAUUUGACAAUAUGAAGGCUAAUGCUAGACUUCCGGACAAAAUUUGGUUCAUUUUCACAUUUAAGCCUUCAAUAAACAGAGAAAUAGCAUAAUGGAAUCUGACCAAAUAGACGGGAACUGGCCAACUGAUGGAAGUGGUAACAAGCAUUUAGUUUAACUACAUCCAACAAAAUACAGUAAAGAGGUUGAUCGCAGAUUCUCCUCCAGGUGCUCCCUUUGGAGGCAGCCUUCAUAUUAGAAAACUCUUACAGAUGUGCAAUACCAGAAGCCACAUGUUGUUCUCAUGACGAUUUCCUGCAUUGACUGGUCGACCUCGGCGGCGUUGUGCUUGCGCUGAACCAGCUACGUAAAUGGGGAUUACGGCACUACCUCCUCCUGUAUGAGGACUACUAACACCACCACCUCCCCUGGCACCACCUCCAUGAGCAACCGCCUGAGAAACGGUGAUCGCACAUGCACUGUUUCUUCUGCCAAUCUGAAAAUUUGUGUCCCAAAAAUAUGAGCAUAUAAUGAGAGAAAAAUUGGUGUACUGACCUGUUGGCAAGAUUUCUUGCAGAGAAGAUGCUAUGGCCAUGGCAGAACAAAACAUGAGUGGACUUCACUAAACAUGACUACGGCAUGUCAAAUGCUUAACAGGAGCUUUCAACAUUGUCGACAAAGAUGCGUAAGCUAACGAUGGACUUGGGCUGUUACGUAUGAGCCCAGCCAAGGCACUGCCCGAGUUGAUGGCGGAGGAUGUAAUACCUUCGCUGAAAGCAAUACUUGGAGCACAAGACGAUGUCUCCGACGUCGGAUUUUCGUUGCAAGAUGACUGAUUGGAUGGUUCAUUCUUGAAAAAUGGAGUUCCCUACUCAUUUUGGGCUUUCUUCCCCAAUGGCCUCUCGGGUACUUCAAUUCUUAGAGAAUGUAAUUACUUUGUCGUUGUCAUCACCCUUUUAUUACCUCCUGGUUUCCACUGUCUUUUGUUAGAUACAAAAAUGAUGAAUGCAAGUAUGAACAAAUUAUC
Non-coding RNA from Cucurbita pepo subsp. pepo (vegetable marrow), 1566 nucleotides. The record is from RefSeq and is a predicted model, not a curated record. Lineage: Eukaryota; Viridiplantae; Streptophyta; Magnoliopsida; Cucurbitales; Cucurbitaceae.